Amphiprion ocellaris (clown anemonefish) is the source of this 1541-nucleotide long non-coding RNA. RefSeq lists it as uncharacterized. Lineage: Eukaryota; Metazoa; Chordata; Actinopteri; Pomacentridae. The transcript has 3 exons. The record is from RefSeq and is a predicted model, not a curated record.
AUGAUUUGAGUUUCAUUUUUAUAUGAUGAAGUUUGAUUAUGUGUGUACAUGUUGAUGAAAAAGGCGUAGUUGCCCUUUAAUGUCUCAAGCGUAGAUGCAGAUGUUUGUUUACGUUUCGUUUUACGACAGUUCUGUCUGUGCUUGAUAGAGAAGCAUACAGUUUUCUUACCUGCGUCCAGCAAGAAUUACAAGUAUCUUAGCCAGCCGCAUUUUUCCUGUCUGUGGAAUUAUAUUUUGGAGAACAAAAUAAACUGGAGAGUUUAUAUUUUUUCUUUAAUCAUGACGUGUCCGGAGUGGAUUUGUGGGAUCGUGUAGCUGAGCUAACUGCGAGCAUUGCAUGUGGAAAUACUUUCUUGCUAACGAGACUCAGUGUUGUGAAGGAAGCAGGUGGUUCCACAUGUCCAUCUCCCCACCAAUACUUUCCAGUUCCAUCUGUCAGAUCCCAAGGCGAUCCCAGGUCAGAUGAGAUCUGCAAUCAGGCAACUGAGUUCUGGGUCUACGACGGAGUUUCCUUCCAGCUAGAUGUACCGAACUACCCAGGCUGUUUACUUUGGACGUGAAGGAGCAGCAACUCUACUCUGAGCUCCCUUCUGAUGUCCAAGUUCCACACCCAACCUCUACGACUGAGUCAGACUAUAGUCUAAUGACGAGACCACUGUAGGACACAGUCAGCCAGAACAGAAAGCAGCUGAUCUGAAGAUGUGGUGCCAAGACAAAGGAAAUCAGCUUCAGCUUCAGCAGCUUCAGGACAGACGCAACACACGCACUCGACACAUGGCGGAGCUGUCUGACCAACAAAGGAAACGAGGAGAGGCUGGUGAGGAAUAACCUGCAUGUGGCAGCGCAAAACACCAGAGACAUGUUUGAGCUGAAGGGGGCAGUCACAUGGUGCAGAGGAUUUGACCUAAUGUGAUACACGUUUUAAUUGAAAACGUAGGAAAAAAUGAUCAGAGGUUUGCAAGAAACUGACAAAUUACUCUAAGUAACCAUUUAUUAGAGUCCAAACUGAUCAUCAAAUUCAGCCUUUUUCAGGGACAAAGUCAGAUUGCUUUGCAAUGUUCACAACACACACUUUAUCCUCCUCCCAGGUAUAACAAGGUGAUGUCUUUUAACCCAAACAUGGCCCCAUAAACUGACCUGUCAAAGGCUGCUUGGCCACAUCUCCACUGAGGUGUAAGGAGGCUACUGUUCCUACUGCACUCCACCUCUGAGAAAUAUAGUUUUCGACAGCUUAUGUAACAUGUCAGCUAAACAGGGGAGACAUUUCACUGUGUGUAUGUGCACGCGUUUGUUUGAGGACAUACAGUAUCAGUGUUUUAGGGUUGAAGGUGUUGGCAGGGGUGAGGAGUCAGGUCGGAGUGUCAGGACCUAUCUGUCGUAUCUGUGCUUGUGUGAGACUGUCUGCGUGGUGUUACACAUCCACCUGAGUGUUUGUGUGUGCACAAAUGUACUGUAUCUAGUGUGUGUGGAGGUGAAAGUCGUUGCUCAGUGUUGUGGCAGGGGGUCAGUAUGUCAGAUCCUACAAAAGAGUUGCCCUUAGA